Molecule: long non-coding RNA, 1708 nt
Filed under: Homo sapiens (human)
Lineage: Eukaryota; Metazoa; Chordata; Mammalia; Primates; Hominidae
Description: HSALNT0408376
Source: RNAcentral
GAACUGGAGGGUGGCCGCAGCCGUGACUUCCUUGGGAACCGCGCUGCCUCGACUCGGCUACCUCUCUGCGAAGCACUCGCUAAGCCGGGCAGCCCCGGGGUCGCUUAGCGGCCCAGGAGGCGCCAGCGAUCCUGUUCCCCUGCAGAGCUAUGGGGACCGGAAGGCGAAACAGAGCUGUCGACGCGGGAGCAUACGCUGCCCACCAGUGGAGCGCAGGUCAUCAAAGCCGAAUCCGAAUUUGAAUUCUGUGCGGCUGAUUGCAGAGCUGGAGUGCACACAUGCUUCUGUCUUCACAUAUGCACAGCUGAAAGUGAGAUGAUUUCUCUACUCCACAGUUGGGAAGGGGGAUUAGACAACAGAGAAGAUGGAGAAGACAAAAGGGCUUGUGGAAAACUGCAAGUCAACAUUUCUUUGGUAAGGCAGUUACCACACAUGAGCACUGGCUGCCAAGCAAAGACUAUGGUUCACUGAAGAGAACCUGACAGGAGUAGCCACCCCUCUGUUUCAGGCAGUAAUUGCCAUGUGAGACUGUGAUGGUUGUCCAGAUCUUCUGAUUAUUCAAGUAAAGCUGGAAAUUUAGAUUUGUAUUUGAUCCCUCACAUCUUUAAAUGCAGGCAACUAAUUAAAAUUAAAAGAAAACCUUCUGUCCAACAUUUUGCAAUCUCCAAAUUAUUGAAAUUUUUGAAAAGCAGCUGAUGUGUUUUUACGUCAAAGGUAAUUCUUACCAUUUUUACUUUUUCACAAUGGAAAUAGAUUUUUUCUGAUUAUAAAAACACACGUUCAUUUUUAAACUUACCUGUAUUCACACUACCCCAAGAAACCAUUUUUAAACUUUUGAUGUUUUUCCUUGUUGUUUUUCUACUUACUGGGAGGAUGCCAUAUGCACAUCCCAAUAGACAGAAAAUUUCACAUUUUUAAUGUGAAAAUUUUACAAUAGUUGUUUACUCACAUUAGUAGUUAUGCAUCUACAUUAUUAUUUUUAAUAGCUACAUGGUAUUCCAUUGUGUGGUUGACACAUUAUUAAUCCAAUUCUCUAUUGAUGGAUAUUUAGGUGUUUAUAAUUUUUCAUUAUUACAAACAAUACUGGAAUACACAUUCAUAACCACUUUUAAAAACAUGUUCACUAUAUAAGAUGGAGGGAGAAAUUUUAUCAUAGAAGUUUUGUUUUUCAGAGUAGGAAAACCUGGGAUUCAGUACUAGGAUCCAUCUUAGUUCAUACUUUUAUAAAAGGCGUGGAAGACAGAGAACAUACCAAUUUUGCAGUAGAUUUAUUCAAGUAAACUAUGACAAGUCAGCAGUGAAAAAUUGCAGAAACAAGCAAUGAGUGGUCAAGAAAGUGUAAGAUGAACCUCAAUGUGGAAAAGUAUAGUAAUACAUUUAGAGAAACACAUGCCAAACUAUAUAAAGAGUAUUAUCAGAUUAUUACAUAGCACUGCUUGCUGCCACACCAGAGAAAUGAUUCUGUCUCGAUGGGUCAAUUCUUAGAUCAUUUAAUUAUCUGUCAUCGAAAAUGUAGCAAACUUGACAGCAGUAAUAUAUACUAUAAACGUGCAAUAGCAAGAGCAUUGAGCGCUGAACUAGAAAUCACAUCUGAAUUUAGACUGAGCUCAGCUGCUUACUGUGAUUUUGAGAAAAUUGAUUAGCCCCUCUGUGUCUCAGUUUUCAUAUCUGUUUAAUACUUUAUUGUCAUGGUGAUUAUGAAGACCCA